AGAGUUUGAUCCUGGCUCAGAAUCAACGCUGGCGGCGUGCCUAACACAUGCAAGUCGAACGAGAAAGUGGAGCAAUCCAUGAGUAAAGUGGCGACCGGGUGAGUAACACGUGACUAACCUACCUUCGAGUGGGGGAUAACCUCGGGAAACCGGGGCUAAUACCGCAUAAUGCCUUCGGGUUAAAGGAGCAAUUCGCUUGAGGAGGGGGUCGCGGCUGAUUAGCUAGUUGGCGGGGUAACGGCCCACCAAGGCGAUGAUCGGUAGCCGGCCUGAGAGGGCGCACGGCCACACUGGAACUGAAACACGGUCCAGACCCCUACGGGAGGCAGCAGUGGGGAAUUUUGCGCAAUGGGGGAAACCCUGACGCAGCAACGCCGCGUGGAGGAUGAAGUCCCUUGGGAUGUAAACUCCUUUCGAUCGGGACGAUUAUGACGGUACCGGAAGAAGAAGCACCGGCUAACUCUGUGCCAGCCGCCGCGGUAAUAC
Molecule: ribosomal RNA, 486 nt
Filed under: uncultured bacterium
Lineage: Bacteria
Description: bacterial SSU rRNA
Rfam family: Bacterial small subunit ribosomal RNA
Source: RNAcentral